This 259-nucleotide long non-coding RNA is filed under the name Capsicum annuum. RNAcentral's name for it is "long non-coding RNA (CANN_LNC020660)". The record is from RNAcentral. Lineage: Eukaryota; Viridiplantae; Streptophyta; Magnoliopsida; Solanales; Solanaceae.
UCCAAUUACAUUUACAUGCCAUGCAUAUUCAUACAAUAUCCUCCAAUAUCAAGUUUGGAUUCAUUUAUCCUUCCAACCAAUCCAUUAAACCAAAUUGAGCCAUAGACAUAAAUAAUCAUCAAUUCAAUAGUAUAUCACCAUAUUCACCUUCCAUAACUCAAUUACCAUAUCCACCUUCCACAAUUCAAUACAACCAAACCAUAUAAAAUAGUCCAUAACCCUAUUUCCAUCACUUUCAAUAACAACCAAUACAUAUAAU